This is a non-coding RNA of Paramuricea clavata, 654 nucleotides long. The record is from the annotation of a GenBank genome assembly. NCBI's taxonomy places the organism in Eukaryota, Metazoa, Cnidaria, Anthozoa, Malacalcyonacea, Plexauridae.
AUAUAUCUAGGCCUAUAUAGGCCUACACCAUGUACGAAGUAAAUAAAUACUUACAAACGUAGUGUUGUGAACUUAUUAAUAGCUAUAUUAUUAAAAAAUUAUUGAUUAUAAAUUAACUUACAUUGAUAUGUAUUAAGAAACUAAGAAACUGUUUAGAUAAUCACUUUUGUUUUAGUCAGUAAACUGAGUGGCGAGGCGUGUAAAGAUAUAGUUUGAAAAUUGGUUUGUUUGUGUGGUCUUUCAUAAUACAUUCUCCGCAAUAGUACUAUGGAGUUGUCUUUUCUGAUACACUUGCUGCAUGCUAUAGUCCCAAUUUGCCUCUGAUCGAUCUGCUUGUUAGCAACAAGCUCCGUAUAGUAUAUAGGCUAUAUGCUUUUCUCGAUCCAAUUAAAUGGAUCCAACCCGCCGUAAUUUAGGCAAUUAUGCUGCAAGUGAUUAGGCCUACGUGCAGAAAAACACGUCAAUAGCUGCCAAAUAAUUCAGUAAUUUUUCGGUCCUUGAUUCCACUAUAUGUUGUUUUCUUACGUCAUUCAAAAGCGUCUUUGCUUUUCUAUUCACACAAAAGCAUUCUUAUAACAGUUUAAUUAAAACUGGUGCCAAAACAAAAUGUUCAAAGGCAGCAAAAUAAAGGGAGCUGGAGUAGUUCAAAGUGGG